RNAcentral lists this ribosomal RNA (465 nucleotides) under uncultured bacterium. Its description in RNAcentral is "partial 16S ribosomal RNA". It matches the Rfam family "Bacterial small subunit ribosomal RNA", at positions 28 to 507 of the family's 1533-position model. The record is from RNAcentral.
GACGAACGCUGGCGGCGUGCUUAACACAUGCAAGUCGAACGGAAAGGCCCCUUUGGGGGUACUCGAGUGGCGAACGGGUGAGUAACACGUGAGUAACCUGCCCUUGACUUCGGGAUAACUUUAGGAAACUGGGGCUAAUACCGGAUAGGAAUCCUUGCUGCAUGGUGGGGGUUGGAAAGCUUCGGCGGUUUUGGAUGGACUGGCGGCUUAUCAGCUUGUUGGUGGGGUAGUGGCUUACCAAGGCUUGGACGGGUAGCCGGCCUGAGAGGGCGACCGGCCACAUUGGGACUGAGAUACGGCCCAGACGCCGACGGGAGGCAGCAGUGGGGAAGAUUGCACCAGGGGCGGAAGCCUGAUGCAGCAACGCCGCGGGCGGGAUGACGGCCUUCGGGUUGUAAACCGCUUUCAGCAGGGGCGAAGCUUGUGGUGACGUUACCUGCAGAAGAAGCACCGGCUAACUACGUG